RNAcentral lists this ribosomal RNA (163 nucleotides) under Bambusa nutans. RNAcentral describes it as "5.8S ribosomal RNA". It matches the Rfam family "5.8S ribosomal RNA". From Rfam's summary of the family: 5.8S ribosomal RNA (5.8S rRNA) is a component of the large subunit of the eukaryotic ribosome. Lineage: Eukaryota; Viridiplantae; Streptophyta; Magnoliopsida; Poales; Poaceae. The record is from RNAcentral. RNAcentral also lists the same sequence under 1 other name.
AAACGAAUCUCGGCAACGGAUAUCUCGGCUCUUGCAUCGAUGAAGAACGUAGCGAAAUGCGAUACUUGGUGUGAAUUGCAGAAUCCCGUGAACCAUCGAGUCUUUGAACGCAAGUUGCGCCCGAAGCCAUUAGGCCGAGGGCACGCCUGCCUGGGUGUCACAC